GACGAACGCUGGCGGCGUGCCUAAUACAUGCAAGUUGAGCGAUGAAGAUUGGUGCUUGCACCAAUUUGAAGAGCAGCGAACGGGUGAGUAACGCGUAGGGAAUCUGCCUUUGAGCGGGGGACAACAUUUGGAAACGAAUGCUAAUACCGCAUAAUAACUUUAAACAUAAGUUUUAAGUUUGAAAGAUGCAAUUGCAUCACUCAAAGAUGAUCCCGCGUUGUAUUAGCUAGUUGGUGAGGUAAAGGCUCACCAAGGCGAUGAUACAUAGCCGACCUGAGAGGGUGAUCGGCCACAUUGGGACUGAGACACGGCCCAAACUCCUACGGGAGGCAGCAGUAGGGAAUCUUCGGCAAUGGACGAAAGUCUGACCGAGCAACGCCGCGUGAGUGAAGAAGGUUUUCGGAUCGUAAAACUCUGUUGGUAGAGAAGAACGUUGGUGAGAGUGGAAAGCUCAUCAAGUGACGGUAACUACCCAGAAAGGGACGGCUAACUACGUG
RNAcentral lists this ribosomal RNA (497 nucleotides) under uncultured bacterium. Its description in RNAcentral is "partial 16S ribosomal RNA". It matches the Rfam family "Bacterial small subunit ribosomal RNA", at positions 28 to 507 of the family's 1533-position model. The record is from RNAcentral.